GAAGAAACCGUUCUACGGAAGCCCAGAUGAGACAACUUGAGACGGGAUUCAGAAACGCUGAUUUUAGUAACCUUAACCCACGGCCCUUGGUGGGAACUUCGGCUGUGUGGGAAUUAGCCUUUGGGGGACUGAUGGUGAUGCUGAAAUCUUAUUGCGUAGGAAAUCAAGUACAACAAAGAAGACCCGUCGUGAGAGGAGAGUGCGGAAGAAAUGCGAAGUCUACGGGAGGUGGCAGCUGCAGAAGCUUGGUGUUGGAUUUGGAGUUAGGAGACCGGGAGGAGCCCAGCUUCCGGUCCAGAGGGUUAUCUUGUUGACUUGCACGACUGCAAACGCCCUGAGCUGCUUUUGCAGUCUGAAACAUCAGCGAUCCCAUCAAAAUAUUCUCUGUUUCUUGGGAUGUAAGAAACAUCCCAAGGCGGGAUUUAGAGCGAGAGAUUUGGACUCGAUUUAAAUACAGACAAUAUAGUAUGCAUUUACUAACACCACAUCUCACCCCCACGAAACUUGGUAAGGGCAGCAACAGAACUUUAUCUGCCAUAUGCACUCCUGUAUUCCCAUUACCAAAUAGUGCCAGGGACUAAAUGAAUAUUUGCCCAAUGAAUGAGUUUUAAGUAGGAAACGUUUGCAUAGAAUAAUUUUGUUUCUUUUGGAGUUCAAGUCUUCGGGUAUUUUACCCUUCCCAAUCCAAAGAAAAGUCUCUGAGUGAAGAGAUGGGAACAAAAU
Molecule: non-coding RNA, 723 nt
Filed under: Pongo abelii (Sumatran orangutan)
Lineage: Eukaryota; Metazoa; Chordata; Mammalia; Primates; Hominidae
Source: RNAcentral